Molecule: ribosomal RNA, 379 nt
Filed under: uncultured eukaryote
Lineage: Eukaryota
Description: partial small subunit ribosomal RNA
Source: RNAcentral
CCAGUAGCCGCGGUAAUUCCAAUUUUGAGAGCCGGACUGGGCAUGCUGCCGGGAAUCAUGAGGCUCCUACCCGACGCGGAAGUUGGAUUUCUUGGAAUCAAACGAAAUGAAGAGACGCUUCAGCCAGAAACUUACGCCAAUCGACUUCCAGAGAAUCUAAGUGGUAGGUCAGUGAUUCUCAUAGACCCAAUGCUCGCGACCGGUGGGACGCUGAAAGACUCGCUGGAUUACGCAUUUGAACGCGGAGCAAAUAGCGCUGUAUGCAUUUGCCUUCUUGGCGCCACACAGGGGGUAGAAGCCGUGAGACUCCAUGUAAUUGCCCGUUGGCCAGAUAGGACCGUAAGCAUUUUCCUGGCAGCACUCGAUCAAGAACGAAAGU